This 433-nucleotide ribosomal RNA is filed under the name uncultured bacterium. RNAcentral's name for it is "partial 16S ribosomal RNA". It matches the Rfam family "Bacterial small subunit ribosomal RNA", at positions 29 to 507 of the family's 1533-position model. The record is from RNAcentral.
AACGAACGCUGGCGGCAUGCCUAACACAUGCAAGUCGAACGAGACCUUCGUGUUUAUUGGCGCACGUGUGCGUAACGCGGGGGAAGCUGCCCUUAGGUUCGGUAUAACUCCCCGAAAGGUGUGUUAAUACCGGUUAAGGUCUUAGGACCAAAGAUUUAUCGCUUUUGGCUGGGGGCUGGUUGGUUUAGCGGGUUGGUAGGGUAAAAGCCGACCAACGCGACGAUCCAUAGCUGGUGUGAUAGGAUGACAAGUUAGAAUGGGAAUGCGACACGGCCCAGACCGCGACGGAAGGCAGCAGUGGGGAAUAUUGGAGGAGGGGCGAAAGCCUGAUAAAGCAAUGCCGCGUGAGUGAUGAAGCCCUUAGGGUUGUAAAGCUCUUUUACCCGGGAUGAUAAUGACAGUACCGGGAGAAUAAGCUCCGGCUAACUACGUG